CAUCGUUUAAAGAAAGCGUAAUAGCUCACUGGUCUAAUGACGUUGCGCCGAAAAUGUAACGGGGCUAAGCAUAGUACCGAAGCUUUGAAUUCCGCGAAUGCGGUCUGGUAGGGGAGCGUUCUUCACGGGCUGAAGGUGUGUCGUAAGGCAUGCUGGACUGUGGAGAAGUGAUUAUGCUGACAUGAGUAACGAUAAAACGGGUGAAAAACCCGUUCGCCGUAAACCCAAGGUUUUCCGGGUAAAGGUAAUCUUCCCGGAGUUAGUCGGCCCCUAAGGCGAGGCUGAAAGGCGUAGCUGAUGGGAAACGUGUUAAUAUUCACGUACUUGUGUGUUCGCGCGAUGAAGGGACGCAGGAAGAUAGGCAAGCCGGGCGCUGGUUGUCCCGGUGCAAGCGUGUAGGGAUGAAGAGUUGGCAAAUCCGCUCUUCUCUAUCCUGAGACGCGAGUCCGUGACCGAAAGGUCUGAAGUUGUUGAGUCUAUGCUGCCUAGAAAAGCUUCUAAGUAUAGGACACGCAAACCGUACCGGAAACCAACUCAGGUGGGUGGGAUGAAUAAUCCAAGGCGCUCGAGAGAACUCUGGCCAAGGAACUCGGCAAAAUAACCCCGUACCUUCGGAAGAAGGGGUGCUUUUUAGGGUGAAGCGAUUCACUCUGUCGAGCCCUGAAAAGCCGCAGAGAAAUGGUGGUGGCGACUGUUUACUAAAAACAUAGGUCUGUGCCAAGUCGUAUAGACGACGUAUACGGACUGACGCCUGCCCGGUGCUGGAAGGUUAAAAGGAGGAGUCACUGGAAGCGAAGCUCCGAAUUGAAGCCCCAGUAAACGGCGGCCGUAACUAUAACGGUCCUAAGGUAGCGAAAUUCCUUGUCGGGUAAGUUCCGACCUGCACGAAUGGCGUAACGAUCUCCACACUGUCUCGGCCAGAGACUCGGUGAAAUUGAAGUCGCGGUGAAAAUGCCGUGUACCCGCAGAAAGACGGAAAGACCCUGUGCACCUUUACUAUAGCUUGACAUUGGGAUUUGAGCCUGCAUGUGUAGCAUAGGUGGGAGGCUGUGAACUCUGUACGCCAGUAUGGAGGGAGCCAUCGUUGAAAUACCACCCUUGUUUGUUCAGGUCCCUAACUCUUCGCCGUGAUCCGGUAAGAGGACAGUGUCUGGUGGGUAGUUUGACUGGGGCGGUCGCCUCCCAAAAUGUAACGGAGGCAUGCAAAGGUUCCCUCAGGCUGAUUGGAAACCAGCCGUCGAGUGCAAACGCAAAAGGGAGCUUGACUGCAAGAGAGACAUCUCGAGCAGGUACGAAAGUAGGUGUUAGUGAUCCGGUGAUCCCGAAUGGAAGGGUCAUCGCUCAUUGGAUAAAAGGUACGCCGGGG
RNAcentral lists this ribosomal RNA (1366 nucleotides) under human gut metagenome. Its description in RNAcentral is "bacterial LSU rRNA". It matches the Rfam family "Bacterial large subunit ribosomal RNA", at positions 1117 to 2473 of the family's 2925-position model. The record is from RNAcentral.